Molecule: transfer RNA, 72 nt
Filed under: Bos taurus (domestic cattle)
Lineage: Eukaryota; Metazoa; Chordata; Mammalia; Artiodactyla; Bovidae
Also listed under: 5 other names
Rfam family: tRNA
About the family: Transfer RNA (tRNA) molecules are approximately 80 nucleotides in length. Their secondary structure includes four short double-helical elements and three loops (D, anti-codon, and T loops).
Source: Rfam by way of RNAcentral
UCCAUGGUGGUCCAGUGGUUAGGACUCGGAGCUUUCACUUCAGGGGCCCAGGCUCAACCCCUGGUCAGGGAA